UGAGAUCAAUCAGUGAUCAAAUCAAAGGUAAGUCCUUUCUAUAGCUCUCAGCGACCACAACAUAAUAACAUAUAACAAUGGGCAGAAGUAUACUACGUCAUACCAGAUUGAUAUCCAUGAUAUUUACCAACUCAAUCAUGACAGAAGUUGUACAGCUGAAUAAAUUCAAGGACAAGGAAAGAAGUAUGUGCAAUUAUAAAACACAAACAUACCAGUAGAGAUCUAUGACCAGGUUAUCUUACCUGCUGUCCAGAGACGUGUCCUUCACAGAUCAAAGUAAGUAUAUACAUAUCCACGAAUUUAAAAUAUAUGAAGCAGUUUAUUUUCCUUGCCAGUGGAUAAAAAUCAAUGCAAGCAACACAGUAUAUGUAAUAUCCCACAUUGGCCAAACAGAGAGGGGUUAUAUGCUGUAUAUGUACAUGCCCACCUCCAAUCUAACACGAGGCCUUUUGGUGGCUCAGCGGCUUCGGAGGGGAUGGGUACUCCGAGGUUAAGCAUGUCGAUGCGAGAGCAAUCCCAGGAUGAGUGACCUACUGGGAAGUUGCUCCUGAGCUGCCGGAAACAAAACCGUGAGGGCCGGUGGGCCUAAAGCGGACAGUAUCGUGUUACGACGGAGCGGGUCCUGGGAUGUGACAAAUGGUAUCAGAGCCACUCUGCCGUGUGGUGCGAGUGUGCCGACGAGGACGUCGGACUCCCAAGGGGGGUGGAUUGUAAUAUCCCACAUCGGCCAAACGGAGAGGGGUUAUGUGCUGUAUAUGUACAUGCCCACCUCCAAUCUAACACGAGGCCUUUUGGUGGCUCAGCGGCUUCGGAGGGGAUGGGUACUCCGAGGUUAAGCAUGUCGAUGCGAGAGCAAUCCCAGGAUGGGUGACCUACUGGGAAGUUGCUCCUGAGCUGCCGGAAACAAAACCGUGAGGGCCAGUGGGCCCAAAGCGGACAAUAUCGUGUUACGGCGGAGCGGGUCCUGGGAUGUGACAAAUUGGUCCCGGGAUGUGACAAAUGGUAUCAGAGCCACAUGCACAUGCCCACCACCAACCUAAUACGAGGCCUUUUGGUGGCUCAGCGGCUUCGGAGGGGAUGGGUACUCCGAGGUUAAGCAUGUUGAUGCUAGAGCAAUCCCAGGAUGGGUGACCUACUGGGAAGCUGCUCCUGAGCUGCCGGAAACAAAACCGUGAGGGCCGGUGGGCCCAAAGCGGACAAUAUCGUGUUACGGCGGAGCGGGUCCCGGGAUGUGACAGUAUAUGCAUGUCCUUUUAUUCAAGUAUCUAACAAUGAAGCUACUGCUUGAUAAUACCUUGUCAUCAAGCAUGUAACAUUUGAUAGCAACACACACACACACACACACACCCCCACACAUCUCAAGUCUGCAGACCACAGGUGCCAAAAUAACCAAAUUCUCAAAAAGUGAAUAGCAGGAUACUCGCAUGAUAUCUAAAAUUAUGUUCCAAACAAGCAGGACACCACCUUAAAGCUUAUUAAACAAUAUCUCACUGUGUUAUCAUGUACACUGUAAUUUUGCCUUGAAGAAAUCUUGAAGAUGCACGCAUGUAAAAACUUACCUCAAAGGCAGCCCAUAUGUAGCAUCAUAUAUGUGUCCAUAUCCUUCAUCUCUGUGAAACCAGUCUCCUCGUCUUUCACCUUCCUUUCCAUUUCAACUUAAUCUCUGUGAAAGAAACUUCACAUGACUAGAAUCCAUGAGUAGAACAAAUAUAUAUAACAUAUAUGAGUAGAAACCAUGUCUACAUGAUUCAUUUAAUUACUACUAGCCUUGAUGCCCGCGCUUCGCGCGUGCAAAAGGACAUCCAUUCAAAAACUUAUCGUUUGAAUCAAAAAUCAAACAAUCAACUAUUGGUAGUAGAGUUCAAGUCCUUAAUCAAAACCCAGAAACACAAAGGUCUAAGACAAAUAAAAAUAGGUAAAGAGUAGUCCAGAGGAUUCGUCAAAACUAUGUUGACAAAGUUUUAAUUUGAUUCAUCAUAGCAAAUUUCAUCACAGUAGCUACAGCUGUAUUGAUGACCGAGUGAUGAUAAGUGAGCAAAUCCCCUCUCAAUAUUGCUUUCUCAUUACGUGCUUUUAUUGGUCUUCAACAAAAGAGUAGUUAGAAGGAAAAGACAUGUAGAUUGGAUGCAAACAUCGAUAUUAACCAAAACACUGACAAAAAAAACUCGAAGAACCAAUUUCAUUCACUGAUUUCAACACAAACAACAUAUAUUGCAUAACACACAAAUCUCAUCAGCAAGUGAAAAUCGGUUCCCUCCUCAAUAAGUAUGCCAUUAGAAAUCACAUAACUAAAGUAAGGUUUGGCAAGUAAUUGUAUGUAGCAGUAAUAGUUACACCCAAUCACACAAAACACAAAAAGAUUAGCUAUACACAUGAAAACCAACUAAACAGAUUAGCUAUGUAACAUCCACAGAAAUGGAACACAACACACACAAUAACCUACAAACCCAACCUAAAUUCCAAACCACCCGCAGAUACAUCCACAUACACACACUCAUAUGCACCACCUGGAAUUGCAUGCACUGAAAUUUAAAACUCAAAUCGCACUCAAGAUUCAAUCUUACCUAAAGCUUAAUCUCUCAGAAACGUCUAAUUACUCGAUCGGAUCCUCCGAUUUCAACUUCUUUCCUUUCUUCCUUUGCACUCUUCGCUCCGUGUGCACCUUUCAAAUAAGCCGAGCUCGCCCGACAACGAAGAGAAGUAAAAUUUCAGCCUCAUACUGUAUUUCCGCCACCUUUAGUGAUCUUUCACAUAAGACAAAUUGAUGGCUACUCAGCACAUACAUGAGCAUGUUGUUUGCAAGAGUCAGCUAAAUCCCAAUUAGGUAGUAUUUCUCUAGUUCAGCAAUUAUUCAAAAAAGUUUAAACCUAUGAAACAAAUUAAUUGAAAUGGUCAGAUAAUAUUGAUGCAACAGUAUACUCUACAUACUUCAUUGAUACUGAUUUCCAUUGAUGCAACAGUACAUAUUUGUAUAAUCCAAAUUUAUUAAGCUGACAAUACAACAAUUGGAAUUAUGAAUUGAAAGAGGGUGGCACUGAUGUCUAUUGUCUUACUCUUCUUCCUCUUCUUUCUCUGUGUCUCUCAGUGAAAAACAAAACAGAAGGAUUAAACCGAAACAGGUGGCAGCGGUAGAGAACGACAACACAGAAGGACAGAACUGAAAUAACGAUGCAAAUAGAGGGGCAUGACUCAUAAGGGUUGGGUACUGUUCCGUGAACAGUANNNNNNNNNNNNNNNNNNNNAUAUAUAUAUAUAUAUAUAUAUAUAUAUAUAUAUAUAUAUAACUUACCUUAUGAACCGUCAGAGUAUUACAUUUACACAUUGUGUAAAGCUACAUAAUUUGCUCUCACACUUGAAGUAAUAAAGUGCAAUAUAAAUAAAUUUAUUUUAUCAAGUAUACAAUUCAAGUUUCUAAGCUAGCAAACUGAAGAUAUGAAUCGAAAGAGUAAUGCUAGGUGAACCACCUAGAGCCUACCUUAGGUGGCAGUUGACGUGGCUUAGCCACAUCAUUAAUCAUUAAAGUAUAAUUUUUGUCUUAAUUAUGAAAAUUUCUUUCAAUAAAAAAUAAUAAUGAAAAUUUCUUCUAAUGUUUUUACUUUCUUGAAUUUAUCUUUUAGAUCCUAUUUUUGUGGCUUUCUUAUCUAAUUUGUAGCUCUCACGUCCCCCUUCAAUUGAAUGAAAUCUUUUCAUUUUGAUCGAUUACGGUUUCUGGCAAUCAUAUUUAACAAAAGCUUUACCCGUUCUAAUCUUUUCAACAUGUGUAUUCCCUGUUUUCCAAUUACACUUGCUUCAAUCUUAGGCUUCUUCCUUUUCAUUAUUGAAGCUAGUUUUGGGAAGUGGAAUUGACAACCAAAUUUAAUAUGUUUCAAUCGUAAGUAUAAUCUAUGGAACAUUGAAG
RNAcentral lists this long non-coding RNA (3898 nucleotides) under Fragaria vesca (wild strawberry). RNAcentral's name for it is "long non-coding RNA (FVES_LNC003169)". The record is from RNAcentral. Lineage: Eukaryota; Viridiplantae; Streptophyta; Magnoliopsida; Rosales; Rosaceae.